RNAcentral lists this unclassified non-coding RNA (552 nucleotides) under Hevea brasiliensis (rubber tree). The record is from RNAcentral. Lineage: Eukaryota; Viridiplantae; Streptophyta; Magnoliopsida; Malpighiales; Euphorbiaceae.
GCAAGUGCAGGGUAAACGAGAAAAAAGUUUGCAUUUUGUUUUUGUCAUUUCUGGAAUUUUGAUUCUGAUACAGUAAAAACAUGUCAUUUUGUGUCAUCUAUAGACCUGCUUUAAUGCUGGCAGCAAAGUCCUAAAUAAGAAAAAGAUAUUAUUACAUUAUGUUUCUGUGAGAUCAUUUCAUCAUUUUAAUAUGAUUCAGCUGUUCCAUUUUCCUAAAACAAUUGAAGAACAUUUGGCACAGCAAAUGCUUUGUUAUUCCAUACGCUGAGCAACAUGUAUAAUUGUUAUUUUAUGUUACUGGUGUGGGCCUGAAGUGUAAAUCUAGCCUUUGACUCUGUGGUUCAAUGGGAUUAAAUUCAAAGCCAACUGUGCCCUUAUGCAGGGGUGUAGGGUUUAAGGAGGGGGAAAGCCAUCCCCUGAUUUGUCUUGCAAUAUCACAUCCUUUACAGAAUGGUGGAUGUUCUGAAUUGACAGAAAUUCAUUCAUUUGUUAAUGUGGAAUUUAUUGAUGCCCUUUAUAAUAUGUAUUUCUAAUUUUAAGCAGAUACCUUGG